UUGGAGGGCAAGUCUGGUGCCAGCAGCCGCGGCAAUUCCAGCUCCAAUAGCGUAUAUUGAAGUUGUUGCAGUUAAAAAGCUCGUAGUUGAAUUUCGGGAUCAAUAUUUCGGUCAUGCCGUUGGUAUGCACUGUUAUCAUUGAUUUCUCACCUUCUAAAGAACCGUAAUGCCAUUAAUUUGGUGUUACGGGGAAUUAGGACUGUUACCUUGAAAAAAUUAGAGUGUUUAAAGCAGGCUCACGCUUGAAUACAUUAGCAUGGAAUAAUGAAAUAGGACAUCCGAUUCUAUUUUGUUGGUUUCUAGGAUCGAUGUAAUGAUUAAUAGGGAUAGUUGGGGGCAUUAGUAUUCAAUUGUCAGAGGUGAAAUUCUUGGAUUUAUUGAAGACUAACUACUGCGAAAGCAUUUGCCAAGGAUGUUUUCAUUAAUCAAGAACGAAAGUUAGGGGAUCGAAGACGAUCAGAUACCGUCGUAGUCUUAACCAUAAACUAUGCCGACUAGGGAUCGGAUGAUGUUAACUUUUUAAUGACUCAUUCGGCGCCUUACGGGAAACCAAAGUGUUUGGGUUC
Molecule: ribosomal RNA, 566 nt
Filed under: uncultured Funneliformis
Lineage: Eukaryota; Fungi; Glomeromycota; Glomeromycetes; Glomerales; Glomeraceae
Description: SSU rRNA
Rfam family: Eukaryotic small subunit ribosomal RNA
Source: RNAcentral